This 2858-nucleotide ribosomal RNA is filed under the name Escherichia coli 1-176-05_S1_C2. RNAcentral describes it as "bacterial LSU rRNA". It matches the Rfam family "Bacterial large subunit ribosomal RNA". Lineage: Bacteria; Pseudomonadati; Pseudomonadota; Gammaproteobacteria; Enterobacterales; Enterobacteriaceae. The record is from RNAcentral.
CGAUGAAGGACGUGCUAAUCUGCGAUAAGCGUCGGUAAGGUGAUAUGAACCGUUAUAACCGGCGAUUUCCGAAUGGGGAAACCCAGUGUGUUUCGACACACUAUCAUUAACUGAAUCCAUAGGUUAAUGAGGCGAACCGGGGGAACUGAAACAUCUAAGUACCCCGAGGAAAAGAAAUCAACCGAGAUUCCCCCAGUAGCGGCGAGCGAACGGGGAGCAGCCCAGAGCCUGAAUCAGUGUGUGUGUUAGUGGAAGCGUCUGGAAAGGCGCGCGAUACAGGGUGACAGCCCCGUACACAAAAAUGCACAUAUUGUGAGCUCGAUGAGUAGGGCGGGACACGUGGUAUCCUGUCUGAAUAUGGGGGGACCAUCCUCCAAGGCUAAAUACUCCUGACUGACCGAUAGUGAACCAGUACCGUGAGGGAAAGGCGAAAAGAACCCCGGCGAGGGGAGUGAAAAAGAACCUGAAACCGUGUACGUACAAGCAGUGGGAGCACGCUUCGGCGUGUGACUGCGUACCUUUUGUAUAAUGGGUCAGCGACUUAUAUUCUGUAGCAAGGUUAACCGAAUAGGGGAGCCGAAGGGAAACCGAGUCUUAACUGGGCGUUAAGUUGCAGGGUAUAGACCCGAAACCCGGUGAUCUAGCCAUGGGCAGGUUGAAGGUUGGGUAACACUAACUGGAGGACCGAACCGACUAAUGUUGAAAAAUUAGCGGAUGACUUGUGGCUGGGGGUGAAAGGCCAAUCAAACCGGGAGAUAGCUGGUUCUCCCCGAAAGCUAUUUAGGUAGCGCCUCGUGAAUUCAUCUCCGGGGGUAGAGCACUGUUUCGGCAAGGGGGUCAUCCCGACUUACCAACCCGAUGCAAACUGCGAAUACCGGAGAAUGUUAUCACGGGAGACACACGGCGGGUGCUAACGUCCGUCGUGAAGAGGGAAACAACCCAGACCGCCAGCUAAGGUCCCAAAGUCAUGGUUAAGUGGGAAACGAUGUGGGAAGGCCCAGACAGCCAGGAUGUUGGCUUAGAAGCAGCCAUCAUUUAAAGAAAGCGUAAUAGCUCACUGGUCGAGUCGGCCUGCGCGGAAGAUGUAACGGGGCUAAACCAUGCACCGAAGCUGCGGCAGCGACGCUGAUGCGUUGUUGGGUAGGGGAGCGUUCUGUAAGCCUGCGAAGGUGUGCUGUGAGGCAUGCUGGAGGUAUCAGAAGUGCGAAUGCUGACAUAAGUAACGAUAAAGCGGGUGAAAAGCCCGCUCGCCGGAAGACCAAGGGUUCCUGUCCAACGUUAAUCGGGGCAGGGUGAGUCGACCCCUAAGGCGAGGCCGAAAGGCGUAGUCGAUGGGAAACAGGUUAAUAUUCCUGUACUUGGUGUUACUGCGAAGGGGGGACGGAGAAGGCUAUGUUGGCCGGGCGACGGUUGUCCCGGUUUAAGCGUGUAGGCUGGUUUUCCAGGCAAAUCCGGAAAAUCAAGGCUGAGGCGUGAUGACGAGGCACUACGGUGCUGAAGCAACAAAUGCCCUGCUUCCAGGAAAAGCCUCUAAGCAUCAGGUAACAUCAAAUCGUACCCCAAACCGACACAGGUGGUCAGGUAGAGAAUACCAAGGCGCUUGAGAGAACUCGGGUGAAGGAACUAGGCAAAAUGGUGCCGUAACUUCGGGAGAAGGCACGCUGAUAUGUAGGUGAGGUCCCUCGCGGAUGGAGCUGAAAUCAGUCGAAGAUACCAGCUGGCUGCAACUGUUUAUUAAAAACACAGCACUGUGCAAACACGAAAGUGGACGUAUACGGUGUGACGCCUGCCCGGUGCCGGAAGGUUAAUUGAUGGGGUCAGCGCAAGCGAAGCUCUUGAUCGAAGCCCCGGUAAACGGCGGCCGUAACUAUAACGGUCCUAAGGUAGCGAAAUUCCUUGUCGGGUAAGUUCCGACCUGCACGAAUGGCGUAAUGAUGGCCAGGCUGUCUCCACCCGAGACUCAGUGAAAUUGAACUCGCUGUGAAGAUGCAGUGUACCCGCGGCAAGACGGAAAGACCCCGUGAACCUUUACUAUAGCUUGACACUGAACAUUGAGCCUUGAUGUGUAGGAUAGGUGGGAGGCUUUGAAGUGUGGACGCCAGUCUGCAUGGAGCCGACCUUGAAAUACCACCCUUUAAUGUUUGAUGUUCUAACGUUGACCCGUAAUCCGGGUUGCGGACAGUGUCUGGUGGGUAGUUUGACUGGGGCGGUCUCCUCCUAAAGAGUAACGGAGGAGCACGAAGGUUGGCUAAUCCUGGUCGGACAUCAGGAGGUUAGUGCAAUGGCAUAAGCCAGCUUGACUGCGAGCGUGACGGCGCGAGCAGGUGCGAAAGCAGGUCAUAGUGAUCCGGUGGUUCUGAAUGGAAGGGCCAUCGCUCAACGGAUAAAAGGUACUCCGGGGAUAACAGGCUGAUACCGCCCAAGAGUUCAUAUCGACGGCGGUGUUUGGCACCUCGAUGUCGGCUCAUCACAUCCUGGGGCUGAAGUAGGUCCCAAGGGUAUGGCUGUUCGCCAUUUAAAGUGGUACGCGAGCUGGGUUUAGAACGUCGUGAGACAGUUCGGUCCCUAUCUGCCGUGGGCGCUGGAGAACUGAGGGGGGCUGCUCCUAGUACGAGAGGACCGGAGUGGACGCAUCACUGGUGUUCGGGUUGUCAUGCCAAUGGCACUGCCCGGUAGCUAAAUGCGGAAGAGAUAAGUGCUGAAAGCAUCUAAGCACGAAACUUGCCCCGAGAUGAGUUCUCCCUGACCCUUUAAGGGUCCUGAAGGAACGUUGAAGACGACGACGUUGAUAGGCCGGGUGUGUAAGCGCAGCGAUGCGUUGAGCUAACCGGUACUAAUGAACCGUGAGGCUUAACCUU